GAUGAACGCUGGCGGCGUGCCUAAUACAUGCAAGUCGAGCGAACAGACGAUGCUCUUGCUCCUCUGACGUUUGCGGCGGACGGGUGAGUAACACGUGUAUAACCUCCCUAUAUGACUGGUAUAACUUCGGGAAACCGGAUCUAAUACCGUAUAAUAUAUUGAACCGCAUGGUUCAAUAGUGAAAUACGGUUUUGCUGUCUCUUAUAGAUGGUUCCGCGCCGCAUUAGCUAGUUGGUAAGGUAACGGCUUACCAAGGCAACGAUGCGUAGCCGACGUGAGAGGGGGAUCGGCGACACUGGAAGUGAGACACGGACCAGACUACUAAGGGAGGCAGCAGUAGGGAAUCGUCCGCAAUGGGCGAAAGCAUGACGGAGCAAGGCCGAGUGAGUGAUGAAGGUCUUCGGAUCGUAAAACUCUGUUAUUAGGGAAGAACAAAUGUGGAAGGAACUAUGCAGGUAUUGACGGUAACUAAUCAGAAAGCAACGGCUAACUACGUG
This 497-nucleotide ribosomal RNA is filed under the name uncultured bacterium. RNAcentral describes it as "partial 16S ribosomal RNA". It matches the Rfam family "Bacterial small subunit ribosomal RNA", at positions 28 to 507 of the family's 1533-position model. The record is from RNAcentral.